GUUAUAGGGUCAAGCGAAUAAGUGCAUGUGGUGGAUGCCUUGGCGAUCACAGGCGAUGAAGGACGUAGUAGCUUGCGAAAAGCUGCGGGGAGCUGGCAAACGAGCUUUGAUCCGCAGAUGUCCGAAUGGGGAAACCCGGCCCGUAUGGGUCAUCCCUUGCUGAAUACAUAGGCAAGGGAGGCGAACGCAGUGAACUGAAACAUCUAAGUAGCUGCAGGAAAAGAAAUCAACCGAGAUUCCCAAAGUAGUGGCGAGCGAAAUGGGAACAGCCUGUACUCUUUAGCAGUAUUGUUAGCGGAACGGAAUGGAAAGUCCGGCCAUAGUGGGUGAUAGCCCCGUACGCGAAAACAGUAUUGUGGAACUAGGUGUACGACAAGUAGGGCGGGACACGUGAAAUCCUGUCUGAAGAUGGGGGGACCAUCCUCCAAGGCUAAAUACUCGUGAUCGACCGAUAGUGAACCAGUACCGUGAGGGAAAGGCGAAAAGAACCCCGGGAGGGGAGUGAAAUAGAUCCUGAAACCGCAUGCAUACAAACAGUCGGAGCCUGGAAACGGGUGACGGCGUACCUUUUGUAUAAUGGGUCAGCGACUUACAUUCAGUGGCAAGCUUAACCGAUUAGGGAAGGCGUAGCGAAAGCGAGUCCGAAUAGGGCGUUCAGUCGCUGGGUGUAGACCCGAAACCAAGUGAUCUAUCCAUGGCCAGGUUGAAGGUGCGGUAACACGUACUGGAGGACCGAACCCACUAACGUUGAAAAGUUAGGGGAUGAGCUGUGGAUAGGGGUGAAAGGCUAAACAAACUUGGAAAUAGCUGGUUCUCUCCGAAAACUAUUUAGGUAGUGCCUCGUGUCUCACCUUCGGGGGUAGAGCACUGUCAUGGUUGGGGGGUCUAUUGCUGAUUACCCCGCCAUAGCAAACUCCGAAUACCGAAGAGUGCAAUCACGGGAGACAGACAUCGGGUGCUAACGUCCGGUGUCAAGAGGGAAACAACCCAGACCGCCAGCUAAGGUCCCUAAGAUUGGCUAAGUGGGAAACGAAGUGGGAAGGCUAAAACAGUCAGGAGGUUGGCUUAGAAGCAGCCACCCUUUAAAGAAAGCGUAAUAGCUCACUGAUCGAGUCGUCCUGCGCGGAAGAUGUAACGGGGCUAAGCCAGUCACCGAAGCUGCGGAUGCACGUAAGUGCAUGGUAGGAGAGCGUUCUGUAAGCCUGUGAAGGUGUCUUGUAAAGGAUGCUGGAGGUAUCAGAAGUGCGAAUGCUGACAUGAGUAGCGAUAAAGGGGGUGAAAGGCCCCCUCGCCGUAAGCCCAAGGUUUCCUACGCAACGUUCAUCGGCGUAGGGUGAGUCGGCCCCUAAGGCGAGGCAGAGAUGCGUAGCUGAUGGGAAGCAGGUUAAUAUUCCUGCACCGUCGUAUGAUGCGAUGGGGGGACGGAUCGCGGAAGGUUGUCCGGGUGUUGGAAGUCCCGGUCCCUACAUUGGAGAUGGCACUUAGGCAAAUCCGGGUGCGUGAUUCAAGGGUGUGGGGCGAGCGACGUUAGGUCGCGAAGCAAUUGGAAGUGGUUCCAAGAAAAGCCUCUAAGCUUCAGUCAUACGAGACCGUACCGCAAACCGACACAGGUGGGCGAGAUGAGUAUUCUAAGGCGCUUGAGAGAACUCGGGAGAAGGAACUCGGCAAAUUGGUACCGUAACUUCGGGAUAAGGUACGCCCUUGUAGUUUGACUGGCUCGCGCCAGAAGGAUGAAGGGGUUGCAAUAAAAUGGUGGCUGCGACUGUUUAAUAAAAACACAGCACUCUGCAAACACGAAAGUGGACGUAUAGGGUGUGACGCCUGCCCGGUGCCGGAAGAUUAAAUGAUGGGGUGCAAGCUCUUGAUUGAAGUCCCGGUAAACGGCGGCCGUAACUAUAACGGUCCUAAGGUAGCGAAAUUCCUUGUCGGGUAAGUUCCGACCUGCACGAAUGGCGUAACGAUGGCCACACUGUCUCCUCCCGAGACUCAGCGAAGUUGAAGUGUUUGUGAUGAUGCAAUCUCCCCGCGGCUAGACGGAAAGACCCCAUGAACCUUUACUGUAGCUUUGCAUUGGACUUUGAACCGAUCUGUGUAGGAUAGGUGGGAGGCUUUGAAACCGGGACGCUAGUUUCGGUGGAGCCGACCUUGAAAUACCACCCUGGUUUGUUUGAGGUUCUAACCUUGGCCCGUGAAUCCGGGUCGGGGACAGUGCAUGGUAGGCAGUUUGACUGGGGCGGUCUCCUCCCAAAGUGUAACGGAGGAGUUCGAAGGUACGCUUGGUACGGUCGGACAUCGUACCUAAAGUGCAAUGGCAAAAGCGUGCUUAACUGCGAGACCGACAAGUCGAGCAGGUGCGAAAGCAGGACAUAGUGAUCCGGUGGUUCUGUAUGGAAGGGCCAUCGCUCAACGGAUAAAAGGUACUCUGGGGAUAACAGGCUGAUACCGCCCAAGAGUUCAUAUCGACGGCGGUGUUUGGCACCUCGAUGUCGGCUCAUCUCAUCCUGGGGCUGUAGCCGGUCCCAAGGGUAUGGCUGUUCGCCAUUUAAAGAGGUACGUGAGCUGGGUUUAAAACGUCGUGAGACAGUUUGGUCCCUAUCUGCCGUGGGCGUUGGAAUCUUGACGGGGGCUGCUCCUAGUACGAGAGGACCGGAGUGGACGUACCGCUGGUGUACCUGUUGUCUCGCCAGAGGCAUCGCAGGGUAGCUAUGUACGGAAGAGAUAACCGCUGAAAGCAUCUAAGCGGGAAACUCGCCUGAAGAUGAGGAUUCCCUGGAGACUUGAUCUCCCUGAAGGGUCGUUCGAGACCAGGACGUUGAUAGGCUGGGUGUGGAAGCGCAGUAAUGCGUUCAGCUAACCAGUACUAAUUGCCCGUGCGGCUUGAUCCUAUAACC
RNAcentral lists this ribosomal RNA (2891 nucleotides) under Ralstonia solanacearum. RNAcentral describes it as "23S ribosomal RNA". It matches the Rfam family "Bacterial large subunit ribosomal RNA". Lineage: Bacteria; Pseudomonadati; Pseudomonadota; Betaproteobacteria; Burkholderiales; Burkholderiaceae. The record is from RNAcentral.